Long non-coding RNA from Ooceraea biroi (clonal raider ant), 11708 nucleotides. RefSeq lists it as uncharacterized. NCBI's taxonomy places the organism in Eukaryota, Metazoa, Arthropoda, Insecta, Hymenoptera, Formicidae. The record is from RefSeq and is a predicted model, not a curated record.
AAUCUUUUCUGUGGGUGUAUUUUCGCGGAAAUGUUUCCAUCAUGAAUAUUUCUAAAUAACUAAUAAACGAUGACUCAUCGCCACCCUCGUCAUUCCACGCAAUACUCGCUGUUCUGCGUCGAAAGAAAGACGCAUUUAGGCAUCGAAACUCCGAGUUGAGUUUUCACGAAAAAACAAGUCUAUUAAGGUUUAUUUGCAACAAUUUACGCCGUGAGAUGCAGUUUCCUGUUAUCUCCCGGUAUAUCAGAGAUGUGAUUGAACUCAUCGAAAUUACAGCACUGCUUUUAACAACCGCUGCUUUCACCAGUGUAGAAAGUACUUGUUUUUAAUGAAUGCGAUCGAUGCGCUCGCACGAUCGUUUCGGCAUGUAUCGAUGAGAGAGCGUUAUUGCGUGCAAGUACGCAGAGAAACGCAAGGAGAAUGUGAAAUAUUCAAAUGCUCCUUUCUUGAUAUUUGCAUGAAUGUGUUUUUUCCUUCCCUUUCAAUCGAAAGCACUUUGACGAAUAAUGCUGGUAACAAUGGUUCGUACCCAUCGCGCGUUCAUCUGCGUUACACAUACUGUGUGAGAGGGAGAUACGUUCAGACCGUUGCGUUCCCGUUGCCUUACAAAGGAUGUCUUGAAUGGCACCUGCUUUUUACGACCUCUCUCUCUCUCUCUGGGUUGGGCCAACGUCGCACCCAGAAUAACAACAGCGUUAAUUAACGUAAUAAACGCGAUACGCGUUAUUUUUGAGAAUCAGCGAUGUGGCGCGGAACGUGGCACGGGACGGGAAGCAAACCGGGUCGUUCGCGUCUAAUGGACAAGAAGAUCAUGGACCUCUGACGAAUAGCUGGACCAAGGACGCGUCUCUCUCUCUCUCUCAAUACGUUUACACGAUUACAUUAUUUUCUAUUUGCACGAAUGACGAUGAAUCAUGACCAAUAUUCCCACCAGUUGGAGACCACGCUUAAAGAACGUCCAUAAAUUACGUAACGCGACAAUGACAUGACACGAGAUCUUUUUGCAGGCAGAUUCGAGAUAGAGAAAAGACAAUCAUGAGUUUCGCACAAGACUGCAGAAGAAGAUGUUAUUCCAGACGCGUAUGCUCAAAUUCCCACACAAAUUCUAUUUUAUAGGCACUAAUCUUCUACUUUUAACAAGUAACUAAACUCUUUAAAUGUCUUGUACCUAUGUAGAGUAUUUUAUUGUUAAAGUCAAUUUUACCUCCAUGAACGCGAAUUCUCAAGAGACCUCCCUUAUGACCGACUUAAAUUUCGCGAUAUAGUUGUCCAUAAGCUACUUUAGCAUACGGAAGUGCAAAGUACUUGCCGCACAACGCCCACGUUAUUCUAUCCUUACACGUUGAGAGAAAAUUGGGAAAAAUCACGCGAAGACCGAAUGACUCUCGAUAUCUAGAGGAGAAAAGGAAAGGCCCGUCAGCGUGAGCGGACGAUCCGCUCCGCGCGAAUCGCAUCGGGUCAAACGUGACGCAACCGCAUCGUGCAGCACGCAUCCGGGCCCGACUUCCGAGGAGGAGGUGGAAACGGCGGAUGGGAGGAAGGAAAGAAAAAGAGAGAGAGAGAGAGAGAGAGGCGGAGAAGGAGAGCCGACGAAGCGUGGUACUGCGGACGUGCCGCGGCAUCCAUCUCUCCUCCGCGCCUCCACCUUCUCACCUUACCCCGAUCCCAGACGCGGAGAGGAGCGCUCCGCCGCACCGCCGCGCGCGGCGUAAAGCCGCGGCGGGAGCGGUUGCCACAUCGGCAUUCCGCCUGGUAUGAUUCACUAAGUACCUAACGUGAUCCGUACAUGAAAACGCGCGCGAUAGUCGCGCGUACGUACGGUACACGUUGCCACGCGACGAUAACCGCCCCAAUCGCGCGCCGUCCGGCAAUAAUAAUCGGCGAUGAUAAGACCUCGCCGGCGAAAUAAGACGACGUACACUCGGACUCGUUCCACGCUUCCAUGCACGCAUCAGCGCGCUUGUCUAAUGGACUUCCGCACGCUCUCACUGCGAAGCACGUUGCCUUCGCGAUCGCCAAACGCAACGCCGAACUCCCCUUGACCGAUUCGAAGUUGAUUUUUUUCUCAAGUCAAAUUCUGCCAUCGAAUUUGAUUAGCUUCACCGACAAUUUACUCACAAUCAAUCAAAACUGUAAACGUUCAAUCGUAGAUACAAUGCGAAAUGUAUGUUUAUAUCUUUUAAUUGAUCUUUCGCAUUGUUAGUUGCUUAAUGAUAAAGAGAAGAUCGUUCUUUAUCCGCGAUUGAGCACAGGGUUGUUAACGCGAACGUUCAAGGGUUGGAAAGCGAGGCUUAUUUUUAGCGGCGUUUGUUAACCGAUCGAUCGGCGCGAAUGACUCACAUAGUCUGACAUAAUUGGCGAAUUAUGAGUGCACUGGUCGAUACCGGCUGUGACAGCUGCAAGCUUUGCGCAAGGCAUCGAUCGCGGUACUUUUCACCCGCAAAAAUUACCAUUCGCCCGCUCGGGACGCGCCUUGAAAGCAAUGACCCCACCGUCGCGGUCGGCCCGUUAAUCACGUGCCGAAUCGAAUCUGAAUUAGGCGACAAAUCGCAAACGCGAAUUGGAGUCUAGAAUCGAAGCGUGGGACUCGAGAAUCUCGCGUGAUCAGACGGAGCCUGCAAUCGGCCACGAUAUUGCAACGGGAACCGUUUAAUCCCGCGACUCGAUAACGAACUGCGCGCAAUUCACGAUUGCGAUCCAUCGAUCGGUUUGGAUUCAUUUCUCUGGACGCACUUUGGAAGUCAAAUGGAGCCAAGUACAAUGGCGCGCUAUAUAAUUCCUGCCUUCUUCAUUUAACAUUUCAUACCAGCAGUCACCCUGAAUUACACCUGAUUUUUUUCUACGAAUAAAAUCUUCCUCUCUCAUCAUGUACUAAAUACAAAAAAUAUUUUUUCAAGAAUAAUACAAAUUGUGAUCUCAAGCUGCAACGUCUUGUAUCUUUUACUCUUUUGUGCAAAUUCCUAAUUUUCUAAAGUUUAAGUGUAAAACAAUGAGUGUCACGAGCGGAUAAGAGCAAGUAGAAUAUUCGUCGAAGCGAACGCGAACGUCUGAUGGCCAAACGAGCUACUGGGCACGUUCUUCACGGCCCCGCGCCGGCUAAAGAGUCUAUAAAACUGGCUCUAAUUCCUUCCUUUUUUUCACAUUAGCCAGGAAUUCGAGAACACCGCGCAUUCAUGGCCGAGUGAAUAAGCUCGCCCGAGUUUAGCCGCCUUUCUCCGCCGUGAUCCGACCAUUCGCUUCGAUCCGGCUAGCUUUUUUCCAGAUAUACACCAUGGACUUAACGUAACAGCUAAACUUUGGUAAUAGGAUGGCGAAUGUCAAUGUUUGACGAUAUCACGUUCGAAGUGACGUAAUUUCUCGGCUUCUUAUUCCUGCUUUUGCAAAGUGUUUGUACAACUUUCGUGUUUCAUGAAACUCGUGAGAAUUAAUAAAAUACCGAUAUGUCCUCGAAAUUCGAUAUUUUCAAAUCUAAAAAAAAUGGAAAUCAAAGUCAUCUCUUAUCAAUGGAUAAUUGAUUUCACAGCAGUUUAUCCAGCAAAAAAAUAAAUUGCAACUGAAGGCAAAACAAAUUUAUAAAAAUUAUUAGAGAAAAAUGAUCAGAAGUAAUGCAUUCGGUACGCGAAGAUUCCUGCAGAAUUCCUACAAAAUUCCUGUGGUUUUUUUGAGAUGCUUUCGGAAUCACGAAGAAUCGCCCGAUUUUUCUGCGUCAGCCAUCUAUCUAGCGAUCUAAUCACGGUUACAAACACUACGUUUUACGUCCGCCCAAGGAACGACGUAGCUACACCACAAUGAAUAUGGAUCAUUUUUGUUCGAUCUCCACGGCGUGAAACGAUCGCGAACGCGGUCGUACGAGCGUGACGACGAGCUCGCUCGUGAAUCCGAUGCGUUCGACUUUGAGUGACUUUCUCGAUGAUAAUCCAGCGUGUAAUUGCGCCUCGCCGUGCUAAAAUCGUGUCUACGUGGUUACUAGUCGCUGUUUAUACGCGAGAUAACGUUCUUAGCCUCAAGUUUAUCGAACCACAUGUUACUUCGCGAACGCGGCUGAGGUGCGCACUUAUACCGUGCCUGGAAAGCGUUUUUCGCAGCGAGAAACCGGAAACUCCUCGCUUUAAUUCGCCGAUUUAUGGCUUUCUCCAUUUAUGAGAAGCCGCCCGGACGCGACGCACCGAGACGAUAAUUCUUUCUUCCUUUCUUUUUUUUUUAAUGCGAGAGAUGCAUCGUUAGACUAUGCGAAAUUAUCUAUAUGGAUAGCGCAUAAAGUGAUGUAUUUUAAUUUACAUGACGCAAUUAUAAUCUCGCUUGGUGUGUGAUUUAAUAUAAAUAUAUAUUCUAUUUAUAAUGUGCAACCUGCUAUGUUUUUCCUUUUAUCAGAAAAACUCUCGAGUUACGUGCGUGCACACAGAAAAACAUAAGUGUGCUUAGCUCGAGAUCGCGUUACGCACGUCCCAAGGAACGAGGCGUAAUUGAGGCAUUAUUUUGUAUAUUUGCGAUAAUUAAAGAAAUAAAUAAAGAUCGCGUGUUAACGGUCGCGCACGCCGCCUAAAACGCCUAAUUACCUACUCGUCGGCGAGGAGUUUCACGCAUCGUGGGCGUGGUGCGCUAGUCGGAGAUGCCCAGUACUUUCCGGCGAACGAGGAAAUGUACCAGAUGGCACACAUCACGUGUAUGUAUGUCGGGUAACGCGCAUAAUAUAUAUUUUUACACGCCUCGCGCCGAUUAGUCGUCCGUUCUCUCGGUGACAUCAUCGCGUUUAGUACUGUCACGAAGCACGAAAGCUCGCGUUCCAUCUCAUGUACGCAAUACUCUCUCUCUCUCUCUCUUUCCUCACGCAUGGCUAUUAUUAUUAUCAUUAUUAUUCGAGACGUCGACUGCACACUAGACAAACAUCCGCGCGUCGGAACUUCCUAAACGGAAGUCGUUAAUGGCGCACGUUCUCGAUAAAGCUCGGCAAAAGCGGCCACCGUGACGUAACGAUAACGAUGACGCGGGAGUACCGUGGGGACAUGGCGAUUGGCUGAUGCGGUGUCCAAUUUAGCAGCGACUCUUGUCUCAUUGGUUCCUAAGCCGUUACAAGAUGGUAAACUUCACCUCGAACGGAAAGCGGAGGAAAUUGCACCCCGGUGUCAGGUUGGUGCAGGUCAGUGCCGUUACUCUUUCCCCGCGGAAGAUCUAGGUUUACGACGUUCCCCGCGCGUUUUCCGGCGAAUCGCUCGGGAAAGAGGCGAGGCCGUCGACCUCACCGCGCGUUGCGUCCUAGGACGAGGAAUGUCUCUCAGCUGUUAAGAUCCUUCAAGCCACGGAGGGCGGGGAGGAGGAAAGGGGGACCGCGCGCGACGAGCCGGCGCUCGUAUUUUUAGCGCGGCUCGCGCUCGCGCAGGGAGGAAGCGAUUUUCAAGAGCGUCAUCCCCGCGUGUCUGUCGCCGGUCCCGUCGCGCGCCUGCUUCCCCGGCGAUAAAUCAAGCUCGACGACACCUCGGGAUCCCCGGGCUCGAUUCCGCGGUUUCCCAUCUUCGAGGCUGACGGUGGACCGGAGGACCGUCGCCGGCUGCGCUGCUCUUAGAAACUCAAAUUCAUCUGACGGGCGCGAUGCGAGGAAUGCCGCUGUGAGUCAGACGCGAAUGCCCGCGGGUACGUGUCGCGCACGCAACACUAAAAUUGGAGCUCAUCGCUGGCGUCGUGAGUGUAAAAAGCAUCGCAGAAGAAGACACUUCGCCACCUCGUGGCUGCGUUUUCUUCUCGAUCGCGGAUGGCGAGGGUUGAUCAUAUCCGGCACCAUCAGCGCCUUCGUGCUAUGUAAGACGUGAGUCUAUUCGACACGAGAAUUAUUUGUAUAACGCGCGCCAGCACGGCCUAUGACAGCACGGUCUAAUCGAUUUAAGGCGCAUGCGAGACGAAUAGUCCUAUCUGCGCAUGUAUAUCGAUCGUCGAUCGAUAGUGAUAAAAGGAGCGUAAUCGCCUGCCACGUCCUCUUUCGUUUCGGGGUCCUGAGAAGACAACAUCGUUCUCAGCAAUUCUACACCAACGAAAUAUCAGCCAUUUUUGGACAGCCAUUUGGACUCUAUUCCAUCGGAAUAUCGAGAUUGUGACGAGACUCGCAACGAGUAUCAUAAAUGACGCCGUAUCCUGGAAAGGAGUGGACUUGGUUGAUAACCGAUUGAACAGCACGCUCUCAGCAAACACGAGAGAUCAAUUUCCGAGUCAGAGGACCCUGAAGCAGGUGAAAGAGCCAACGAGGGACCAGGCGCUCCGUCCUAUUCGAUAACUCGGAUGAGUAUUUCUAUGAAUUGAAACAUAAUUUCCGCGCGUUUAUGUAUUGGACAAUAACUCGAUUUAUGAUAUGAUUUCCGCACUUUUAUUUUGAAUAAUAAUACGACUUGUUCGAUGAUUUCCUCGAUUACCUGUAUUAUAUAACCGAAAUAUAAUUAUUCUCAUCUGCUCAUGGAAUUUGAAUAUGUUUAUUUGCAACGGAUAAUCGUUCGUCACCAUCCUCUUGUUCGUAUCUCGAGCCCCGAACCUUAUAGUUAAAGUAAGGAAAAGAAUAAAAAAUUGUUGCAGCUAUCUUUACAACAGUUUUUUUCGAUGACAAUUCGAUCUAUCGAGAUUUCAAACAGAUUCUAAUAAAUUCAAACAAAUGAAUCAAAUGAUGGCAAAGUGUCUUUACGACUAAUGCAGAGAUUAUGCGGUGUCUAAUCCUUAGACGUAAAUUAGAUAUGAUUGUUGGUACUUCAACCUCUCGAGGAACUCAAUGCUAAGCUAAUUUGUCAAGAUUCUGGACGACAACUUCUCUUGAAAUGUUUCCUGAAGAAUCGAUUCAAUGAAAUUAGCAUUAAAUAAAAGCAAUCCAUCUGUAUAAACACUUUUUUCUACCAAUUUCAUUUCUAAAUGAUAACAAAUUAUUAUCUAGGCACAUAUUCAGGAUCCGUUAUCAAGAGGCUCACUGGAACUCGGGGAUUGCACAAAACAUCAGCAAAAAACACGUAUGCGACGAAAACCAAAAGGAGGAGCGCGACAGUCUCGAGGGAUUAAGAGGGACGAUCCUGCGAAUGAUUCACCGGGUUUGCGGUUAGGCUACUGCUAUCCGAUGACUAUAGGGCGACCGUUGCAGGCGGUGUUGCAGUCAGUGGUUCUCACGCGAAGACUCGAGGAAGACGGCGGCGGCCGUCGAAGCAAUGCCGAAAUCGCACAAAAUAACGAGGGUCAAGCUUUUCGACCACGAAAACAACCGAGCGAUCUGGCGAUUCGAUUCGGUCGGCGUCAGUAAGAUCCCAGCACAGAAGGGAAGAGGAAGAAUCGAAGAUCUGCCGAGCCCAGGUAUUCGCCGAUGUGGCCUUCGACUGAUCUUUUUGAGGACGAGGUCCAGCUGCUGCCAGACCGGUCGUAUACCCGGUGUGCAUGGAGAAAAUAAUCACCACCGAUUGACCUCGCGUGGCGUCCAAUAACGACCUCGCACCUUGGCGAUUUCUCUCUAUGUCUCUCUCUUUCUCUCAAGUCGAUUAACUCUUCAGUUAUGAUUACUCUCCCUGCGUCUCUCCAUAGAAUGCCGGCAAGGAUAAAAAGAGGAACGUUAAUUUUCAUCAUUAAACUAUUACAUCUCGUUAGUACGUUGUACGGAUCUGGAUUUACGGAUCGGGAAUAAUUUCAGCAGUUAUUAAGUUUAAUAAGACGAAUGGAAUGAAAGAAGCGGUAGAGCGAGUUCGGAUCCUGCGUAAAGAAACGUGUUCUUUUGCAAGUAUAACGCGAGAAAGCUCAACAAAAUCGCGACGGCCUCGCGCGAAUCUUGUUAAAAGUAUAAAGAAGAUGUUAAAAGAACGAUUCUGUAUCUCGCAGAAAUUGACUAAUUAAUUGCGAUAAUCGAUAUGAAGUUACGACGCUAAUCGACACUAGAGAGGGAUCUGGUUCUUUAUGAUCGGAGGUGAAUCGGAAGGAACCAUCAACGGUUACCGAGCUUGGUAAUAAGGCGAAGGACCUGGUGUAACCCAAAUUUCACCUUUCGCGCGAUGCUUCGUGAAUGGAAGGAACCCCCUUCCUUCCACCCGCUUCACGUCCACCCUCUCUUUUUCUUCGCCUUCCUCUACCUCCCGGUUCACCUCCGCGAGCCACGUUCUCUCUUCGAUGAAUCCUUUCCGAGACGAAGAAACGCUCCAGGCGUUUCGCUUCAGUAACCGCGGUCUUGGUUCAGCUCCUCCCGGAUUCCUUUGUUUAAUGCCUUAUUGCGAUAUUUUAACGCCGUUGCACUGUUGCCAUGCGCGGCGUCGCGCCGAGCCGAACCGAGCCGAGCCGUGCCGUGCUGAGUUCUGCGCCGCAUCUGGUUCCGGAGGUUUCAAUUAACCGGAAUGCUCGUUAACCGUUCGUUACCGCGAAAAGUUGCAAAAGCUCGAUCCGAUAAUCUGCCGACAAAAGUCAGCGUCUGAAACUCGCUUUUGUUACAGGUCUCUAUCCAAAACACAGUACAAGUCAUAACUUGGAAUUGAGACAAUUAGCUAUCGCAAUUUAUACACACUACAAACAAACGUCCUUCCAAUAUGCGAUCGGACAUGGUGAUGGAUUUAGAAAGAACAACUGAAACUUCACGGUCAACCUAGUCGUAGAUGAUAAACGCUCCUUAGCAGUUUUCUCUUUCCAAACAUGCAACAGGAACAAACAGGAACGUAAAAUAUCCGGAAACUUUCGUUAUAAAUAGAAUAAUUAUUGUAAUCCAACUAACGGAUCUAUGCCUAGUAAAAGGAAAGAACACACAUUCGAGCGAUGCCUGCUGUGAUAAGUUGCGCAAGCACAAUCAACCCAGCGCUCAAGUAGAUGCAACUCACAGUGACUCAGAGCGUUAUUUCAAAUAUGAAGACGUAGUAUGCUGGUCUAUACGCGUCGUGUCAACGAUGCGUCAGACCGUGACAAAAUCUGCACGACGUAUUCUGGGAUGUCGCGCGAUCGCUGCUGCUACUGCUGUUCCAGCCGUACGAAGGGUUUCUUUCUCACGCGAUGCGAACGCGUAGAAUCGAUCUCGAACGUGCCGCGCAAAUCACCGACACAGAGAUGAGAAACCGCUCGCGUCCGUAUUCGCUUUCCCAAAUUAACAAUCAUGGGAACGCGAAACGGAUGGAGAGAAUCCUGAAACGUUGCGCGUGCUGCGUUCUCGCUCAUGCGAAAUUUCAUCGCUCCGCAUAAAUAUAUUAGUCUUUACACUUUUGAAAUCCGCAAACGAGGCGAGAUCGAGCGAAGAUCUACGUUUCAUUUCGUUUGUUUUUGCCAUAUGUAUCACGAAUCUCUAAUUAUAGUACGUAGAAAGAUGUACAAGAUACAUUUUUGAUUUAUUAGCUAAUAAAUAAUUAAGGAUUUAAAUGGAUUAACGAGUCGAGUUAUCUUAAAGUCGAUAAGCUGACUUAAGUCGUUAAUCCACCACUCAUGAUCGCUCGAAGCAAGCAUCCUGUUUAGAAAUGGUAAAGUACGAAAUGAUAAAGUGUUGACGGGAUACAGAUUUACAAUCGACUUAAAAUCGUUGAGUCGUUUUAAGCUGUUAAUCUAUCAAGACCAUAAAAUGCGUAUAUCAAUGUCCAUUUUAUCAUUCUGCAAAGAAUCGUUUGCUUUACGUAAUCAUGAAUCAAGUCGGAGCACAAGAAUUUCUGUCUUUGAAAUUAAUAUAGGAUGACUCGGAAUCAUUACUGAACAGUAUUCUAAUUGAAGCUUUUUUAGCCAGAAUUGGAAGCAAUUUUCUUGGUGCUUAAUAUAUUAAAUUUUAAAGGCAAUUUUAAAAUAGAUUCUAUAUAUUCCAAGUAAAAAAAAGAAAUGAUCAUUUAUAGUCGUGAUGUUAAACUUAAGGAAUUUCCUCUUUCAGAGUCGCUUAUAUGAAAAAUAACUUCAACAUUCCUCACCAAAAAGAAUUUAGAUUGCUUCAAGAAUUUGGCCAUGUCGAAAAUAGCGUAAGAGGAUAUUUCUGGCCAGUCUACAUUGAGAUCUGAUGCAACGCAGCUUCAAUGGACUCAUGUCGAGGAGAGGAAAUUACGGUACAGAAUUUACGUAAUUUUCCAAAUUCCUUCGCGCAAAGCGCAAAAGAAAAGAUUACAUCGGCGCAACGGAUGGAGACGAUAAUCGCGCACUUCCUAACGGGGAAGCAUAUUUUCGCGGACGAUGACACGAUAGUUUCACGAGAGGAGAGAGAUUUUCGGACUCCUUUCGAUGAAUGUACGCAAUGCUAACGUACCAGUAUUGCUGGGAAAAUGUUUCUCGCGUGACGACAAUGCCGGUCGCUGUCAAUUACUAGAUUCCUCAGGAUUCUUAUUUGGAGGAGACAUCGAAUCGUAUUGUCUUAUGUGCAUUUCAUUGCAAUUUCGAUGCGUGUCACGCGCGUUGGUAUGAGCGCAAUCGCGCAGUCAACGUCCCCGAUCAGCAAGGUAUUAAUUUUGCAAUAAUAUCGAACUCUCUAUAUUAAUUAUGAAACCAUAGAUUCUCAUAAUUAAAUAACAGGAACGACCAUGUUUUAACUUUUAUAUCUACGACCGAAGCAUAUAAUUGAAAACGUUGGGUAAUAAUAACAAACUAAUAGCUAUUAUAAAUUAAUAAGCAAGUAGUAAUAAAAAAUUAAUUAUUACAAAAUUCUUAAAGGAGAAAGCACAUGAUGAAGAGUUCGUUCAGUAAUGAUCGUGAAAUCAUGUUCACAUUAACUAAAAUUAUCUCGCUCCACCAAUGCCCGUGAACAGCGAGUAAUUAAUCGUGAAUGCUCUGCGACUUACCGAGGAGGACUCGUACGCCACUGACUGGCCAGUUCCUCGAUAGUUUCGCCAAAGUCCUCCUCCUGGGGAGCACUAUGAAUCACUGUGAAUCACUGAGUCACCAACUGACGCGAGACGCCGAGCUCCAAUCGCGGCGAAAAAUCAAUCGAAGGGAAAACGUUCCGAGACGGGCGAGACUGGAGAGAGACCGUGCCGACCGUGCACACGGAUGACGUGCGAGCGAAUGAUCGGAGGAGCAGCCGCGGGCAUCGACUUGCUCGCCCGAGGACGAAGGAAGCGGCGAGCACCGAGUCGCGUUACAUUCGACAGACCACCCUUCGGUAUACCAUCGUGAAGAGGAGAAAAAAAAACCACAAGAACGUAGCGGCUGAGAGAAUGUAUGACAAGAGAAAGGGAGGGAGAGAGAGAGAAACAUUGCAUUCAGACAUUAUUAUGUCUUUGGGACAGUGCUAGUAUUGAGAACUCGACUCAAGAGAUGUAAAACAGAUUUCCAAAACGAAAUUCGCAGGAUUCAAGGAUUAUUGCAAUUAUUUUUAAUUAUUAAAAAAAUAUCCGCGUUAACUAUAGUGUUCUUCGAGAUACAUGGUUUCAUAAAUUAAUUGCAUUUUUGUUCAAUUCAACUGAACUCUGAUCAAUUCUUAAUUUUAAGAGCUUUUAAUCUUUUUUAAUCUUUUUUUUCGGUGAACCGAUUAAAAAACCGAUUAUGAUUGAAUAUGCCGUUAUAUAGCUUUUCAUAUUAUUUAUGUUUAAAUUACUUGAAAUGACAAAAUUAGGAGCACAGCUCAUGCCAGCUGUAUCUGUACGACGCUGUAGCAACUUCUCGCUCACCUACUGCUUCUGCUGUUUCCAGCUUUCUUUUUCUCUCUCUCUUUCUUUCUCUGUUUUUCUUUCCCCUUUCUCAAGUAAAUUAGUAUAAUUCAAUACGUAAAACAAAUCGAUCGCCGAAUAAUUUGUGUAAACGAGAUUAUAAAAGUUUCACCUGCG